GUGGCAGUGGUCUCAAGGCCUUGCACAUUGGACCCAUGACCAAGUUCAGUUUGAGCAUAACAGCCAAUUAUUUGCAUCUUGUAAGCCAGCGGCAGCCACUUUUCCUGCUGUUUAUCUGUGCCCUGUCCUUUUAUGGCAGGUAUAAACAUUCCCCAAUGAAGAUCAGUAAAAGCAGGCUCAUCUACGUAACGCCUUAACAUAGUGGCUUCCUCUUGAGAUAGACGAAGUUCAAUGAUCCGUUUCCAUGCAUAUGCUGCCUUCCUUAGAGUGUUCUUGAAUAGCUCUUUCCUAGGAAGCAUGGUUCUUCCCUCCUUACUGAAGCCAGGAUCACUAGCAACAAGCUUAGAGAUACGAUCUGUAAGUUCAAAAUCAUGACGAGAACCAGCCCAAACAAUCUUCAUCUCAUCCACAUCAAAUCCAGCUUUCUUCCUCUCAUCAGCCAAAUAAUCUACACCCUCCAUCUCUCUUACUCUCAGAUCAAAACCAAAAUUCUUACACAAUGAAAAAAAAUCCAAUCUUGGGUUGUUUUACAAAUACCCAAUUGAAUUCUUGAAAAAAAGAAAAGAUAAG
RNAcentral lists this unclassified non-coding RNA (570 nucleotides) under Hevea brasiliensis (rubber tree). The record is from RNAcentral. Lineage: Eukaryota; Viridiplantae; Streptophyta; Magnoliopsida; Malpighiales; Euphorbiaceae.